Molecule: transfer RNA, 71 nt
Filed under: Cricetulus griseus (Chinese hamster)
Lineage: Eukaryota; Metazoa; Chordata; Mammalia; Rodentia; Cricetidae
Rfam family: tRNA
About the family: Transfer RNA (tRNA) molecules are approximately 80 nucleotides in length. Their secondary structure includes four short double-helical elements and three loops (D, anti-codon, and T loops).
Source: Rfam by way of RNAcentral
GGGGCUGUAACUUAGUGGUAGAGAGUUUGUUUUGCAUGCAUGAAGUCCCAGGUUCAAUCCCUGGUGCUCCA